Molecule: ribosomal RNA, 495 nt
Filed under: uncultured bacterium
Lineage: Bacteria
Description: partial 16S ribosomal RNA
Rfam family: Bacterial small subunit ribosomal RNA
Source: RNAcentral
GACGAACGCUGGCGGCGUGCCUAAUACAUGCGAGUAGAACGCUGAAGGAGGAGCUUGCUUCUCUGGAUGAGUUGCGAACGGGUGAGUAACGCGUAGGUAACCUGCCUGGUAGCGGGGGAUAACUAUUGGAAACGAUAGCUAAUACCGCAUAAUAGUAGAUGUUGCAUGACAUUUGCUUAAAAGGUGCAAUUGCAUCACUACCAGAUGGACCUGCGUUGUAUUAGCUAGUUGGUGGGGUAACGGCUCACCAAGGCGACGAUACAUAGCCGACCUGAGAGGGUGAUCGGGCACACUGGGACUGAGACACGGCCCAGGCUCCUACGGGGGGCAGCAGUAGGGGAUCUUCGGCAAUGGACGGAAGUCUGACCGAGCAACGCCGCGUGAGUGAAGAAGGUUUUCGGAUCGUAAAGCUCUGUUGUAAGGGAAGAACGGGUGUGAGAGUGGAAAGUUCACACUGUGACGUUAUCUUACCAGAAAGGGACGGCUAACUACGUG